CUAUACCUUCCAUGGUCAGUUAUGCUUGUGUAUAUAAAGAAGUUGUUCUAUUCAUUAUCACACAAUAUUUCACAGUAAAAGGGCCACCACAAAGAAAAGAAGAGUGCAGCUCUUUGCUUGGAUAACACAGUGACACCUCCAAGGAAUUAGCUUAGUUCUAGAGCAUGGACAACAGCAGUGACCCCUCGCACAAUUCCUUCUCAGGAAAUGUACGCAAAAACUCUUCCGAGCUGCAAGCACUGCAGAGACAGCACGAGGAGAAGACCAGAAAGAUUGAGGAGCUGAAGAGUCAAAUUGAUUCAGUGAAGCUUGAUUUGGAGAAGAAAAUGAAGGGACCUUCAGGGGAUAAAAAAGAAGUUUUCAAGAGCUUGAGUGACAAAUAUAACAGCCUGAGAGAGGAAUACAAUGCCUUGUUGGCCGAAAAGUCCAGGGAAUAGUCCCCUAGAGAGCUGCUUCAAUGUUGCAUGCUCUUACAAUUUCCGUAUUAUGCAUCUAGCAGCUGGAAACCUAUGCAUUAGAUCGUUAAAUUUGCUUCAUGUUCUGCUUAGUUUUAGUUUCCUAGAAAAAUCUCCCAUUUUUUUUUCACCCUUCUUCAUGCAAUUACAAAUUGGGGGAGAUGUUGUCUAUCCCUACAACAUCAUUUUGUACGUAUGCCAUCUAAAUAUCUGCAUUUUCAGCCAUGAAAAUCAUGUAGUUUGUCACCACAAUGUCAUAGAGUAUGUUAACGCGGGUGUUUUUCAAA
Populus trichocarpa (black cottonwood) is the source of this 742-nucleotide long non-coding RNA. RefSeq lists it as uncharacterized. Lineage: Eukaryota; Viridiplantae; Streptophyta; Magnoliopsida; Malpighiales; Salicaceae. The transcript is spliced from 3 exons. The record is from RefSeq and is a predicted model, not a curated record.